ACCUUGUGACGACUUCACCCCAGUCACGAACCCCGCCGUGGUAAGCGCCCUCCGUGCGGUUGGGCUACCUACUUCUGGCGGAACCCGCUCCCAUGGUGUGACGGGCGGUGUGUACAAGACCCGGGAACGUAUUCACCGCGGCAUGCUGAGCCGCGAUUACUAGCGAUUGCGACUUCAUGCAGUCGAGUUGCAGACUGCAAUCCGGACUACGACCGGUUUUGUGGGAUUGGCUCCCCCUCGCGGGUUGGCUGCCCUCUGUACCGGCCAUUGUGUGACGUGUGUAGCCCUACCCAUAAGGGCCAUGAGGACUUGUACGUCAUCCCCACC
Molecule: ribosomal RNA, 327 nt
Filed under: uncultured bacterium
Lineage: Bacteria
Description: partial 16S ribosomal RNA
Source: RNAcentral